This 86-nucleotide ribosomal RNA is filed under the name Strobilurus torquatus. RNAcentral describes it as "partial 16S large subunit ribosomal RNA". The record is from RNAcentral. Lineage: Eukaryota; Metazoa; Chordata; Lepidosauria; Squamata; Tropiduridae.
UUUAUCACUAAGCUCAAGCCCAGCCCUCCAACAUUUAAAACCACAAAACAAAUCAUUUGACAAAAUAAGUAAAGGAGAUUAAACAU